This 34975-nucleotide long non-coding RNA is filed under the name Solanum tuberosum (potato). RNAcentral's name for it is "long non-coding RNA (STUB_LNC004043)". Lineage: Eukaryota; Viridiplantae; Streptophyta; Magnoliopsida; Solanales; Solanaceae. The record is from RNAcentral.
GCAUCGUAAUCUCCCACUUUCCAAAUUGUAUAACUAACACACAAUUUCGAUGUUGAAAUAGCAAAUUGGAUGUUGAGUAGUUCAUUUUCAAAGAUACCUUGUCCAAAAUGACUAGAUGAACCAAUGAAUCUAACGGGUGUACCGCUAGGUCCAACAUCCGAAUUGUAACGGAAUAUGCCAUUUGCACAAGGGGCAUCUGAAUUUGGGGACUUACCUAGGUACACAUCACCACCUAACGCACCCCAAAAAGUGGAAAUAAUACGAUAACUCAAACGAGAAUCAAGUUCUUUACCAGUUACGUCAAGUACUGGAGUAGCAUCACUAGGUAGGUUAAUGGGAUUUUGGGAAGUGAAAGUUGAUGAAAACACCACAAUGGGAACCAAACACAAACAUAACAAAAAUAAACACUUCAUCUUGUUUAAGCUACUAAUUUUAUUUGUGUAUUGCUUGUUUGUGACUCCUCUACACUAAUGAAGCCUUCUAUUUAUAGACUCAUCACACUCUCAUAUUCCUUGCCAUGUAUUAAAAAUGACUACAGUUCCUUAUUGUGUUGUUAUUACCCGUAAUUACUUAAAUGGUCAUUCAAUUAUAAUAAAUUUCUUAUCAAAUAUUAUUCAUUUUCUUCGUCUCAGUUUGUGUUGCACUUCUCGAAUUUAGAGGAUUCAAAUAAGAAUUUCUUUGUAAGUAAUUAUUUUUCUAUGUGUUUUAAUAUCUUGAAUUAUUAAAUAUUUGUGAUUUAUAUGUACUUUUUAUGUAUUCUUCAAAUAUGUAUAUAUAUUUUUUUUUUAAAAUUUCAUAUCUAAAUUUACGAUUAAAAUUAAACUAUUUAAUAAAUUUGACACGACGAAUUAAAAUCAUGAUGAAAUAUGUCUUCUUGUAUCAAAAAAUUCGUCAAGUAAGAGAGUUUAUCUAUCGAGUAAAUAUAGCUAGAAACAAAAAGAGAGAAUUAGAUUGAUUUAAAGGUUAAUAUAUAAUUCCCCUUUUGGUCAUUCCUCAUCCAUGUUAACAUUAACCUUCUUAUAAACUGUUGGUUAUUAAGCAUUUUAAUAUUAUUUUAUAUUAAAGUAGCUUUUUUAUUUGACUUAAUGCUGCCAAACCAUUUUUUUGGUCAUGUUAAUGCCAAUUAUUCUUGGCUUUAUUGGUCAGAUGUCAUAUAUCCUAUAACGUUCCAGUGAACGUUGUGGUCAACAUCUUGGGCAGUUUUGCAUUUCCACGUUAGAGGCAUUGGGUUACCCCCUGUCAAUUAUUCCAUUCUUAAUUCCUCCAUUAUCCUUGGUAACCCUAUAUAACUUCUAAGACUAUUAUCUUCACUAUUUUACUACAUCAUUUAUCUUCUUAUUCAUUGCUAGGAAGACUUCUUCUAGUAUAAAUAGUAGUGGUCUUCAUUUGGUUUAUGACACAAGGAAAAUAUAAAGUGCAUAAAGUUUGUCAAAAAAAGAGUUCUUAUUAGUUGAAGGGAGGUGUUCUUUUUUGUGGAGAUUUGGACUCAAAUCUUGUCCAGAGUUGUUGAGUUAUACUUUGUGAAGGCUGUUGUAUCCUGGAGGGGACAAGUCAAAAAGGACUACUGCUCGACCGAUAAAAAAACAUUUGCUGCAGUGAACUUGAAUCUCCUUAAAGAGAGCGAGAUAUCCGCGCCUCAACCAAAAGAGAUUUAUUUCUUCAUUUUUAUUUUCAAUUGUAAUCUUGUAAUUCUGUUAUUUUGUAANNNNNNNNNNNNNNNNNNNNNNNNNNNNNNNNNNNNNNNNNNNNNNNNNNNNNNNNNNNNNNNNNNNNNNNNNNNNNNNNNNNNNNNNNNNNNNNNNNNNNNNNNNNNNNNNNNNNNNNNNNNNNNNNNNNNNNNNNNNNNNNNNNNNNNNNNNNNNNNNNNNNNNNNNNNNNNNNNNNNNNNNNNNNNNNUUUUGUGGAGCUUUGGACUCAACUCUUGUCCAGAGUUGUUGAGUUAUACUUUGUGAAGGCUGUUGUAUCCUGGAGGGGACAAGUCAAAAAGGACUACUGCUCGACCGAUAAAAAAACAUUUGCUGCAGUGAACUUGAAUCUCCUUAAAGAGAGCGAGAUAUCCGCGCCUCAGCCUGAAGAGAUUUAUUUCUUCAUUUUUAUUUUCAAUUGUAAUCUUGUAUUUUUUGUUAUCUUGUAAGUUUUUUCACUAACAUAAACUAAUUCAGAGUGUAUGACUCUAAAAUCUACAUUCCUGCACAUAAUGACCCUACAACCUUGCAUUCCUUACAAUAAUUAGACAAAUAAUUAUACUGUUUCACUUUCACUGUCCUUAUUUCUCCAAUAUUUUCAUCUUUUAUAUUCAUUCUAACAUGAUCGGGUAAGUUUUCCAUCAAGUCCACCGAAACCUUCACUUUUGCACAACUAAGUCGAAUCUUAUUGAUUAUUGUCAUGUCAAGAUGUAAAGGAGUGUCAACUGAUCGAUUAUGCCGAUGAGAAAAUAGAUUCCUUCACAUAGCAUGUGAGUAAAAGAUUUGGAAAUGGAGUCCAAGCCACGACUCUUUUGAAUCUUGAAUGAUAAAUCGAUGGUCUUUAUGAAUUUGCAUGAGAGAGAGAAAAUAUAAUUAGUUCUUCAAAUCAAGCUUUCAAUUUUAUGGGUGUACUUAUACAUAUAGAAUUGGCAUAUUUUAUUUAAUAAACUAAUAGCAUGUUAAUUUGGCCAAGUUUCUGAAUUCUGAAAUCACCAUAUUUUGAAAGGUAUUUUUGGUAAGAAAAAAUCUGCAUUUAGCUAGUAAAUUUUAAAGUAGUUUUAAGUAGCAAUUGGUAUUUGACCAAUUUUGCUAUAAGUGUUUUAAGUGUAAAAAAUUUAUUUAAUUAUUUUUAAUUAUUAAAAGAUGAUUAUUUUUUUUGUAGAAUAGACUUAAAUGAAAAAACUGGUUACAUAAAUUGAUACUCCAUUUGUUUUAAUUUAUUUGAUUUUUUUUUUAGUUAGUCUAAAAAAUGACAUUUUCUUAUAUAAAUAAUAUUUAGUGACACUAUCAAUAUUUAUCUAUAUGGAUCCCACUUAUUUGCCAAACGCUAAUUUGGUACUCCCUCUGAUACAAUACAAGUGACUUGUUAGGAUGUGACAUCCUUAGAAAAUAUAUAAGACUCGUCUAUUUUUCAAUAUAAAAUAAUGUCAAUAAUUCAUUUAUAUUGAGUUAGAGGGAGUAACCCCUAAUAUGUACUUUGCUUUAUUUGUUCCACGUAGGAGAAUAGUCAUAAAACAUGAUUUUUAUGUGCUAUAGAUAAAGUUUUAACAAUAAAAUACUUAACGCAAGAAAAUACACAAAACAUGAUUUGCGUUAAUUGAUAGGAUAAAGACAGGAAAUGGGCCUUACUAAAUCAAUCAACCAAAGUAGAUGAUGACUCUUUCUUUUGAUCACAUAAAAUUAAUAAUAUAUUUUUAUUUCUUCAUAUUUUAUUUGUAAUUGGAGUUUAUUUUUCCUACAUUAAUUUUUUUUUUUGCUAACAAUCUUAUUGUGUAUGCUGAAACAUAUAAGGGUUGUUUGGUAGAGUGUAUUAAAAAAAAUAAUGCAUGCAUUAGCCUUGUGGUACUAGUACCUUGUUUGAUAUUCUUCUCCAACCUAUGUAUAACUAAUGCUUGCAUUCAAGUUUAAGAACGAUCAAAAUCAAGACCAUCAGAUUCAAGAAUAAGCUCGAAGCCCUUGAAUUCAAGUAAACGUCAAGAUCAAAAUAAAGUUCAAGUUCAUCGAAGAUUCAACAACAAGCUUUAAAGCCCUUGAAUCCAUUUUUAUCCUAUUUAGAAAAUUUAGUUUUAACCCACUCUGCCCUACACUCGUAUAUAUGCCUAAACCUGCCCCGUUCCUCAUAUGUGAUAUUAUUAUUUCAUUAUUAGGUAUAAGAUAGUAAACGAUAAGGAAAGACAAUUUAUUAAGAAAGCCAUGCUAAAAUAUAUAUAGAUAUACCUUAGCAGGUGUUUAUUUUACAACAUAACAUAGUAGCUGGCCAGCAGGCAGGCUAAAACAUAGUAUAGUCUAGCUGCAGGCAUUAUUUGUUACUAGACUUCCUGGAAUAAGACAUCAAGAGGAUUUUCGUUGACAAGAGCCAAACGCCUUUUUCCAUUUUGAAUAACUACACCCACUUUUGCACAAAACUGAUCCUCAGGGCAACGUAGACAAAUAAUAGAAGUAAAUGGGCAAGACAAUAAGUUGUAACCAAUUUUUGAUGAUUUAACAAUCUUGAAAUAGCUGUUAUCUGCUUGCCCUAUGGUUCCUCCGGUCUCCAACAACAUCGUCCUAAAAUAUGCAUUUAGAUUUCCGACUUUCCAAAUUGUAUAACUAACACACAAUUUCACUGUUGGAAUAUUGAAUUGUAUGUUGAGUAGUUGAUCUUCAAAGAUAUUUGUAGAUAAAGGAAUGAAUCUAACGGGUGUACCGCUAGGUCCAACAUCGGAAUUGUAACGGAAUACGCCAUCUGGACAAGGGGCAUCUGAAUUUGGGGACUUUCCUAGGUAUACAUCACCACCUAAGGCACCCCUACCAAUGGAAAUAAUGCGAUAACUCGAAUUAGGAUUGAGUUCUUUACCAUUUGUGUCAAGUACCGGCUUAGGUAGAGGAGAUUCACUGGGUAGGUCAAUGAGAUUUUGGGAAGUGAAAGUUGAUGAAAACACCACAAUGGGAACCAAACACAAACAUAACAAAAAUAAACACUUCAUCUUGUUUAAGCUACUGAUUUUAUUGCUUGUGUUUUCUCUAUACUAAUGAAGCCUUCUAUUUAUAGAGUGAUCACACACUCAUAUUCCUUGCCAUGUUUUAAACAUGUAGUGGUCCCAGUAGCUACUCAACCAAUUAUAAUGGAGUAAAUCUUUACCAAAAAUUAUUUAUUUUCUUUCUCGCAAUUCAAGAAUACAAAUAAUUAAGUUUUUUAUCAUAAAAAUUUUCAUAUGUUUUGAAUUAUUAAUUAGUGUGACGUAAAUGUACUUUUUAUAUGGUGUCAAAUAUGUAUAAUUAAAAUUCAUGUCCAAAUUUACUGUCAAAGUUAAAUUAUUUUGACUCUCAAAAUUCGAACGAUUCCUCAUAUUGACCCAGAUGAAAUAUGUUUUCUUUUAUCAAUAAAAUCCGUCAAGUCACAGAGUUUACCUACCAAGUCAUUAUACCUAGAAAAAAAAGAUAAAAAAUAAAGCAACAUAAAUCUCCCUUUUAAAUUUGAUUUCUUUCAACUUACCUCCUUUUCUUUCAAAAAAAUUAUCUUAAAGAUAAAUAAUUUUACCUCUCAAACUUUUACCAAACAAUUUAUAAGGCUCGUUUUGAAUCAUAUAUUUUUUGACUUUUUCUUUAUAAAAAGAAAUAUCUUGUCCAAUAACUAGUGCAAUCUAAAUCUACUUAAAGAAAGAACCUAAUGAGAGUUCUGUAUUUCUUUCUUUCUUUCUUUAUUGGUAGCAUAUUUGUGGAUGGCAAAUAUCCGAAAAUUAAUUAAAAUAUUUUUUUUUAAAAAAAUAAUCAUUCUCUCCAAAACCAAAUAAAAAAUCUAUGAAAAUAACUUUUUCCCAUUUCAUAAUUUUAAUGGAUUUGGCUCCCCUCCAUUUCGUCAAGUACACAUCUAGAUGAGAGACAUGUGUACUAUUUAAUUGUUAAAGGUCAAGAUUAUAUUGCAUUAACUAGUAUCAUAACCAUAGUUAAGUGAAUAAGUUUUGGAAAAAAAUACUCUCCAAAUUUAGUAAGAAUAAUUAAUUCUUCUCAAUUUUUGAUAUCCACUAUCCAUAUAUUUAUAUCAUUAAUUUUAUUUUAUAUUUAAAUAUUAAAAUGAUAACAACGUUUAGUUUGUUUAGCCUAACAGUAGUCUUACAAAAUAUUUUGCCUUUAAAUUGAUGUUUUCUUUUAUUUUAUUUUUUAAAAGAAUUUUUUUUUUGAUACUUUCAAUUGGAAAUCAUAUGGUUGAUAAAUCAGAUGACAAAAACUUAUACUAAAAAACAAAAUAUUAUUAUAUCAAAACUAAUAUAAAGAAAAACAUUGAAACUUUAGAAAGAAUAAAUCUCCCCAUAAACAAGACUCUUGAACGACUACAUUGUGGAUGUUAUUGUUGUUGUGUUAGAAGAAACAAACCUAUAUUUAUAGAGUCCUAAAAUCUUUCCUACUAGAAAAGAACUAGCUACUCCAAAACUUUUUCUUAAAAGGAAAGAAUAAACCAAAUAUGAAAGAAUAUUAUAUUUUCCUUUCAAGAAAAGUAAAAACAUUUAUGGUAAUGUUUUGUCUUUUCUUUAAUGAAAAAUAAAUCUUAAAUUAUGGUAAGAAAAUCUUAAUAAAAUCCUAACAGUGAGGUAAUGUGUUAAAGAAUGACAAAAGUCUCACAUCGGUGGUUAAUGAGAUGGGUGGACUCCUUAUAAGGCUUGUGUAAUCCUCCUCCCUUGGAGCUAGCUUUUGGGGUGUGAGUUAGGCCUAAGACCUAAUUUAACAUGGUAUCAAAGCAGAUCGAUUACUGCUGUAACUGCUUUCUGAUCUAAACACACACUGAUUGUACUGCUCAUCUCGCUGGUGAAGCUAUGGCGAAUGUGGACAAUGAGUUGCCUGAGAAGUUAAGUCACAAUCAUCCUCUGUUUUUACAUACAAUUGACAAUUCUGGAGUAUUACUCAGCUCAAUUCAACUAACCGGAGCUGAUAACUACUAUGUAUGGAGUCACGCUAUGAAGAUUGCAAUUCUAGGGCGUAAUAAGUUGGGAUUCAUUGACGGUUCAUGUAAAAAGGAGGCGUAUGGUCCUAAUUUGACAAAUCUAUGGAAAAGGUGUAAUGCAAUUGUACUUUCAUGGAUUAUGAACUCUGUGUCGAAGGAAUUACUUGGAGGAAUUGUUUACUCCACAAAUGCAACUACUGUGUGGAAGAAUCUCCAAGAACGAUAUGAUAAGGUUGAUGGAAGUCAUAUUUUUCAGCUUCAUAAAGAAAUUGCCACAAUUAGUCAAGGUACAAGUUCAAUUUCAGUCUAUUUUGCUCGAUUAAAUGAACUGUGGGUAGAGUUUGAUAGUUUAGAAUAGUUCCUGCUUGUGACUAUGCAAACUCGAGAGAAUUUGUUAUAUUUGUUCAUAAUCAGAAGUUAUUGCAAUUCCUUAUGGGUCUUAAUGAAUCAUAUGAACAAGCUAGAGGACAGAUCCUGAUGAAGAUGCCAUUACCAUCUCUCAAUAAGACUUAUUUUAUGUUAAUUGAAAGAGAAAGUCAACGAAACAUUUCACAAUCAUCUACUAGCUCGUCUGAGUUGAAUGCUUUGUUCACUAGUCGAAAUCCAACACAAUCAUUGCCUAGGUCAAGACCAUCACACACCUCUACCUAUGAUCCAAAUGCCUUUUGUGAUUACUGCAAACGCACAGGUCAUACUCAAGGUAUUUGUUAUCAGCUUCAUGGAUAUCCCCUUGGGUAUGAAAGGAAGAAGAAAGGACAAUUCUCUACUAACACUGGGAGGGGCAAACCUCAUAACGAAAGGAGACAAUAUCCAGCUGUCAAUAAUGUGGUUAGUGAAUCUGAACACAACCAUAGAUCUAACCUUGAUCACAAUAGAGGUAUGAGUUCAGGGAAUCAUGGUGGAAGCCAAGGAUAUGUGAGUCCAGGGAAUCAUGGUGGAAGCCAAGGUUAUGGGAGAGGAAAUAGUCAGGUUGAUCAAACUGAUUACCAAAGAGGAAUGACUGUCUUACAUGAACAAUAUAACCAGAUUUUAACUAUGCUUGGACAAACUAAUGUACAUGGAGGCACUGAAGGACCAUCUACAUCUUAUUCAAGUGCAAAUUUAGCUCAGGAAUAUCCCACAACAGGUACAACUACUGCACUCACAAGUCAUUCUACUCACACGUACUGGAUUAUAGAAUCAGGAGCCACAAAUCACAUAACACCACAUGCUGAUAUGCUUGUUCAGAAACACACUAUUUCACCAAAUAAUCCUAGAAUUGUACAAUUACCAAAUGGCACCACUACUCAUAUCACACACACUGGUUCAAGUAGUUUGACUAAACAUGAUACUCUCAAUAAUGUUCUCCUUAUUCCAGAGUUUAAGUUCAAUCUACUAUCUGUGUCAAAAAUGACUAAAGACCUGCAAUGUGUUGUGUCUUUCUUUCCUGAAUUUGUUGUCAUUCAGGACCUCUCAAAUGGGCAGGUGAAGGUGAUUGGUAAGGAGCAUGCUGGGCUCUAUCAUCUCCCUUCUCAUACUUACUCCACAAACACACAAUGUCAGUCACAUCUAGCACACACUACUGCUGUUUCUUUUUCAACAGACUCUCAGAUUCAAUUGUGGCAUCAAAGGCUAGGACACAUAUCAUCCAGUGUGUUAGCUCAUACUCUUGAUUUUUCUACCAUUAAAUGUUCUCAUAUUGUAUACACCUGCACCGUAUGCCCUUUAGCUAAGCAACAUAAACUUCUUUUUCCUCAUAGCACUUUCAUUUCUUCUAUUCCUUUCCAGUUGUUACAUAUAGAUGUUUGGGGUCCCUUCAACACUCCCACAUAUGAUUGUAACAGAUACUUUGUUACCAUAGUGGAUGAUUGUACUAGGAUGUUAUGGAUAUUUCUAAUAAAAUCCAAAAGUGAUGUUUGUAUUGUGUUGAAAAACUUCUUUACUUUGGUCAAAACUCAGUUUAACUUUGCUGUUAAAUCCAUUAGAACUGAUAAUGGGUCAGAGUUUGUCAAUACUGAGUGUCAUCAAUUGCUUACCAGUCUAGGUAUUAGUCAUCAAAAGACUUGCAUUCAUACUUUUCAACAGAAUGGGAUUGCUGAAAGGAAACACAAACACAUACUUGAAGUGGCAAGGGCAAUCAAGUUUCAGGGUUAUAUCCCAAUCAGAUUUUGGGGUCAGUGCAUUCUUAGUGCUGCAUACAUUAUCAACAGGUUGUCUACACCUAUGUUACAUGGGAAAUCACCCUAUGAGGUGUUUCACAAGAAGAAACCUUCUCUUUUACAUAUGAGAGUCUUAAGUUGCCUUUGUUAUGCCAAAAACAUGUACAUCACUAAUAAAUUUCACCCUAGAAGUGUGAUUGGUAUUCAUAUGGGUUAUAGUGAUCUUACGAAGGGGUAUUUGUUGUAUAACCUGCGAUAUAAGAAUUUCUUCCUCAGCAGAGAUGUUGAAUUCAGAGAGUCUAUAUUCCUUUUUGCUGUGCCUACAUCUAGUUCCUGGCAAUUAUUUCCCUCUACUAAUAUACCAUCUGGUCAUGAUCUUCGUUAUGAUCCUGGUUCAGUGCCUAUAGAGGAAUCAGAUGUGUCAUCUGUUGUGCCUGUACUUAAAGUUCCUGCUCAGAGGAAGUCUCACAGGAUCAGCAGAGCUCCAUUAUGGCUUUAAGAUUAUGUUGCCUUUGUUCGACUCGGUCCUAUCAAGCCAUUAUACUCCAUUGAUCAGUACAUUGGCUAUGAUAAUUUAUCCAGCUCUUAUAAGGCCUUUCUUUCUUCCUUUGGGACUGAUGUUGAACCUACCACUUUUGAGGAAGCUUGCAAGGACUCUAGAUGGGUUGAGGCAAUGCAGGCUGAGAUAUCAGCCUUGGAGGAUCAUAAGACUUGGCGAGUGGUUUCCUUACCUUCUCACAAAAAGGCUAUUGGUUGCAAGUGGAUAUUCAAGAUUAAGUAUAAGGCUUCUGGAGAAGUUGAGAGAUUUAAAGCCAGACUAGCUGCCAAAGGGUUCAAUUAGAGGGAAAGUUUAUACUACCAUGAGACUUUUUCUCCAGUUGUGAAAAUGGUCACUAUCAGGAGUGUGUUGGCUCUAGCUGCUUCUGAACACUGACAUGUUCAUCAAAUGGAUGUCUCCAAUGCUUUUCUUCAGGGAGAUCUUUUUUAUGAAGUUUAUAUGACUCUGCCUCAGGGAUUUCAACUUCCACAGGGAUUCAUUGUGCAUGGGGGAAACCUGGAUAUAAGCUCAAUAAAUCCCUCUAUGGGUUGAAACAAGCUCCUAGACAAUGGAAUGUAAAACUCGCUGAAGCUCUUAUCAAACUUGGUUUUGUUCAAAGUCUUUUGGACUACUCAUUGUUCAUUAAAAGGACUGGUACAUCACUAGUACUAAUUCUUAUAUAUGUGGAUGAUAUGAUGAUUACUGGUAAUGAUCUUAAACUUAUUCAACACAUCAAAAAGAUCCUCCAAGAUACCUUCAAGAUGAAGGAUUUAGGAGACCUCAGAUACUUUCUUGGGAUUGAAUUUGCAAGGUCACAAGCAGGUACUGUUAUGCAUCAAAGAAAGUACACAUUGGAAAUUAUUUCUGAAGUUGGCCUUGGAGCAGCAAAACCAGCUGCCACCCCUCUUGAUCCUUAUGUCCAGUUGACAACCAGAGAAUAUGAUGAAAUAAAAUGGAAAAGGCAAGGAUGAUAAACUACUUGAAGAUGCUACAAUAAAUAGAAGGUUAGUUGGCAAACUGUUAUAUCUAAAUGUCACAAGACCAGACAUUGCCUUUGCUACACAAACCUUGAGUCAGUUCCUUCACCAACCUAAGUAGUCUCAUCUUAAUGCUGCACUCAAAGUUGUGAGAUACAUAAAAGGACAAGCUGGACUAGGUGUCCUGUUAUCUAGCAAGAGAAACAAUCAACUGAAUGUAUAUUGUGAUUCAGACUGGGGAGCAUACCUACAUACUAGAAGAUCAGUUUCUGGUUUUAUGGUGAAGCUGGGAGAUUCACUAAUAUCCUGGAAGUCAAAGAAACAAGGAACAAUAUCUAGAAGUUCAGCUGAAGCAGAAUAUAGGGGCAUGGCAAAUGUUGUAGCUGAAGUUGUUUGGAUAGUGAGGUUAUUCAAAGAACUAGGUGCUGAUGUUCAAAUUCCUGUGACUAUUCACUGUGGUAGCAAGUCAGCAAUUCAAAUUGCAGCAAAUCCAGUUCUUCAUGAAAGAACAAAACAUAUUGAAUUGGAUUGCCAUUUCAUAAGGGAGAAAAUACAACAAGGAUUAGUGAAAACAAAGUAUUUGAAUACUAAGGAGCAAGAAGCUGAUAUAUUAACUAAAGUCUGGGAAGUCUCAACAUGAAUACUUAAUGUCCAAGUUUGGUGUAUUAAAUCUGUCCAUACCUUCAAACUUGAGGGGGAGUAUUUGAAGAAGGUAUUACAUAGGACCUACAUGUAAUUAGUAAGAGUUUGUAUGUAAUUAAUAGAAGUUAGAGGGUUAGUUAGUAAAGAGUCGGUUAGAUUAGUUACAACAAGAUUCCUACUUAGUUUGUAUAAAUGUAGCACAUUACUGAUUCAUUUGUUUUUCUCUUAAGCAAUGAAGUUCAUUUCUCAUUCUCUCUAAUUCUUCUUCUUUACGUCUAGAACAUUCCUAAUCAAAGGGAACUGUUCUUCAAGAUAUCUUCUUCAAGAUAUCUAACAUAGAAUCCAAUAAAUUCUUCUUAGUAUAAUAAGUAAGCAACAGUUAUAACUCUAGUAAUUAUGACUAAUAACUCUAAUAAAAUGUAUUCUACAUUCUAAAAGUAGAGAGGAAAGAGACAAUAUUUAGGUUCUGUAAUUUUUUGUUGGAUAUGCUAUGUUUAUAACAGAGAUGAAGUUUAUUUUUAUGGUUUACCAAUUCCAAGCACUUGUUCUUUAAUUUGCACAUAAACCUAAUAAAUGAGGGCAACAAAAUUAGAUCAUAAAUGCAUGAUUCACCUUAGUGUAUAUAUUGAUCCCUUCACUUUUUCUUUCCUAUUUUUCAUACGAAAUUUUGUUCACACACCCAACAUUAUAUUUAUGUGAUUCUAUUUUGUUAUCAAAUAUUGUCUUGGUUAAAGUCACCGCAUAUUGUAGCUAGCUAUCAAAUAAGAAAUAAGUCGUAAGGAGUUUUACGUUAUCAUAAUUCGAGAAAUACGUCACUAACAAUCUUAAAAUUAUGGAGAAAUUCAUAGAGAAACAUCAAGGAAGAACAUAAUUAUAUGCACACUAUUUAUUAAUGGGAUAUUUUUCUUCUUCAUAUUUUAUUUGUGCCUGAAAUUUAACUUUCAUAUAUUUAAAUUUGUUGCAAACAACAUAUGUAUAUUGAUCCAUAUGUUGUUGUGGAUUUAACUGCCCUGAACAUACUCCUAAGUCCUAAUAUUGUUAGAAAAUAGCAUUUGAAAGCACAUGAAAUAUAUUUUUCCUAACUUAAAAUUUGUUGCAAACUAACAUAUUGUAUAUUGAUCCCUAUGGUGUUGUGGGUUAAUUAAACUGACCUAAACAUACUCCUAAAUCCUAAUACUUUUAGAAAAUAACAUUUAAAGCACAUUAACUUUGAAAUUUACCCUUAAGAAAAUGGAUUUGCAAGCAACAAUGCUUGCAUUAUCCUUAAGAAAUUUAACCUUAUGAAUAUUGUGCUUAAUUAUUUCUCCUUUUUUUUAAAAAAAAAAAAAACUAAUUAAGUAUUAUUUAUAGAAUAGUUAACUAAUUUGUCCUUUAUUAUGUAUAUUCUUAUUAUAUAUAUAUAUAUAUAUAUAUAUAUUUGAGGAAAAACAAUUUUUUUUAGUUUUUGAAUAUUUUUUUGCUAAUUCUUUAAAAGCACUUAAUUAUGUUCUUCCAAAACAACUUAUUUUUAAAAAAUAAAUAUAGAAGUAUUAUAAGGCUCUAUAUUUAAGCUUAUCCAAACUAUUUAUAAGGCUCGUUUUGAACCAAACAAUAUUAUUCACAAGAACCAAAAAGUGAUCACUCUCAUAUUCCUUGCCAUGUUUUAAACACUAAUAUCUAGUGGUCCUUAGCGUGGUCGUUAUUACAAGUAAAUUAUUUAAAUGCUCAUUCAAUUAUAAUAAAUUCCUUAUCAAACAUUACUUAUUUUUCUUCAUCUCAUUUUUUGUUGCACUUCAUUAAUUUCGAGAAUUCAAAUAAGUAUUUCUUUGUUCGUAAACUUUUUCCUAUAUGGUAUAAACUUUGUGUUAAAAAAAAUGAUUAUAUAAAAUGAUACUGUAUUGAUUUUUACUGUUGUGCUCUUUAAUCAACUAAUAAUGUCCAACAACUUUUAAGGAUGGACAUCGACUAGUCGACUACCACUAGGGAACAAUACGUACUCAUGUUUAGAACGUGCCACAAUUUAAGGACUUACGUACGCCAUACAAAUUAAGGCCCCGUUUGGCCAUGCGAUAUGAUAUCAUAAUAUGGAAUUAUGAGAUGAAAUUGAAGUUUUGUUUGGACAUACGAUAUGAAAUUUUUGUGUUGUAUAUUUUCUCAUAAACAUAAGAAUCUCAUAAGUUGUAAAACUAUUAAAAUAGCCCCAAUUGUUUAUUCAAUCUUACCAAAUAAAUAAAAAUUUAUAAAAUUGCAUAAUAAAUUAUUACAAAGCUAUUUGUUCUCCACUUAAGUAACUGUUUCAUCUAACUUUAAUUCAUCAAACUUUAAUUCAAUAAAAAAUUGAAUAAAUUGUAGUGUACUAGUUUUUAAUAUAAUCUUCUCACAUAGUACGAACAAUUUCCUCAAGUUAAACUUGUAUUUCUCGUUCAUGUGAUCGCGAAGACGAACCAACAUUGUUACUUUGAGCCAUUUGUUGGUCAAUAUCAUCUGCAACUAUAUUUUCAUGAUCAUAGACUAUAAAUAUUUCAUCAGUCCUUUAGUAUUCUCGCAAAUAAUUAUGUAACACUGCACAAGCUAUGACAAUUUUUCACUGCAUCAAUUUUUAUCUGCUUUGUUGUUCAAAUAGAUAUAACUAUAAGUUGUAAUAAAUACAAAACGGUAGAAGCAAUAAAUUUAGGUGUUGGAGUAAAUGAAGAGAACAAAUUUAUUACUCAACAAUCGGUUGUUGUGAGUUAAAGUGACUAUAUGUUUGGUGAGAAUAAUAAAUUUUAAAAAUUAAUGAUAUGAUUAUAAAUUUUAUUUACAUAUGAAAUAAAUGGUUAGUAGAUAUAAAUGUGGGGUUGUUUUGACAAAAUAUAAACUUGUGGAUCAAUUUUUGUAUUAAAAUAUCUCAAAUCAUGAUAUGAAAUUCCCAUAUCAUGAUUUUUGGAGAAUAUGGAAUCAUAUCUCAUGAUAUGGAAUCAUGAGAUGGAAUCAGCGUGAAAUCGCAUGUCCAAACGUUGAUUCCAUCUCACUAUUCCAUAUCGUGAUAUGGUAUCGUAUGGCCAAACACCUACUAAGUAUUUAUUGUUAAUGGUGUUCAAGAUUUAGAUAAAAUUUGAUUUAAACUGAAUAUUCAAACCAAAUAAACUAAAUAAAAGGCUUUAUUUGUGGUUGGAUUUGAUUUGGUUUUAUAUUUUAAAAAACCGAUAGUAUUUGAUUUGAUUUUGAUUUUGAUUUUGUUAAAAAAAAUCAAAGAAAUAACCAAAUUGAACCGAUAAAUUACAUACAUAUGUUUUAUUAUUAUACAUGCAUAAUAUAUUAUUUUUAUAGAUAAUUUUAAAUAUCUUAUAUAUGUUUUCAUCAAAAUUUAUUUAUGAAAGUAAAAACGUUCAAUAUCAGAACAUUUAUUUUAUUGAUUUCAUGUAUAACAGUAUAAGAGUGUAUGAUAUUUUUUUGUGGGACUAGGAAUGUCACUAUCUCUUCCUUCUAGACCAAAAUGAUGAAUUUUGAAACUUUAUUCACAGUAAAUUUAAUGAUCAAAAGUUUUGUAAUGUUAGUCGUCCUAACUAUUUUUCAUUUUGAAUGAAUUUUUUUAAAAAAAAUUUAACUACUGAAUAACCGAGCCAAACUGAACCGAAAUUGAUAUUAACCAAACCGAUAAAUGGAUGUUAUAUUUGGUUUGGUUGGUUUUAUAAUUUAAAAUCGAUUAAAUUAGUUUGGUUUUAAUUUUGACCAAUAACCGAUCAAAACCAACCCGUAAACACCCCUGCUACAAGAAUAAGGUCAUAUACGAUGCAACUACUCCCUCUUUUCACUUUUAUGUUCACUAUUCUGAAAGUAAAUAUUCAUUUUUACUUGUCACUUUUAAUUACUCUUAAUAUUAAUUACUUAUUUACCUGAGGAAAGAAACAUGCGCAAAAAGUCCAAAUAUUCGUGAGUUCCGGAAGGAAAGAAGAUUGUUGUCUUUUUCCCUCUUUUGAAUGAAUUUUUUUAAAUAAUUUUUGUGUAUUGUUAAUAACUGAAUAACUGAGCUAAACUGAAUCUAAAUUGAUAUCAACCAAAUCGAUAAAUAAAUAUUAUAUUUGGUUUGGUUGGUUUUAUAAUUUAAAACCGGUUACAUUGAUUUGAUUUUAAUUUUGACGAAUAACCGACUGAAACUGACCUGUGAACACCCUACUUACGUGAAUAAGGUCAUAUAUGAUGUAUCUACUUCCUUUGUCCAUUUUUAUGUUCACUAUUCUUAAAAUAAAUAUUCCUGAAAGGCGAAAAUAAACUCCAAAUAAUCAUGAAUUAGAGAGAUAAAGAACAUUGGCAUGAUAAAAGAGUUUUAUUUAGAAAGAUACUAAUUAUAGUAGAACAUAGUAGGUGCUUAUGCGCGCACAAAGUAGACACUAAGAGGGAAACGGAGCCCUUGAGAAGGCGUUUGUCUUGUGGCGAGAGCCAAACGCCUUCUUCCAUCUAACACAAUCACCCACACUACUCGACAUUGAUUAAGAGCACAAUUUGGACAUACAAAAGGACCAGGACAAUUCAACAAAUGGUAACCUCUUUCUGCUCUCACUAUUUUAAACCAACUACUAUCUGCUCUUCCUAUCGUUCCUCCACGAGUCCCAAACAAACUUGCCUCUAGUGUUGCAUUGUAUUCUCCCACUUUCCAAUUUACAAAAUUAUCACAAUUCCUCGAACCAACGAACUGGAUGUUAAUGUCUUGGUUUUCAUAGAUGAGAGGUGGUUGUCCUCUACAAGAAUGUUCAAUAAAUCUAAGGGGUGUACCUCUUUGUCCAUCGGAGUUGUACUUGAAGACGCCGUCUGGACAAGAGGCACCUGAAUUUGGGAUGUGACCUAGGUAUACAUGACCACUUAGGACACCUCCGAGAGACGAAGCAAUACGAUAAUUUGAACGAGGAUUAAUUCCUCUACCCAAUGUGUCGAAUACUUGCCUAUUAGAAUUACGAGGAUUUUGGCAAGGGGAAGUUGAUGAAAACGCAACAAACGCAAGCAAACAAAGAGAUGAGAAGAAUAAUAAACACUUGGUCAUGUUUCAGUUGUGACUUGUUUAUACUAAUAAAGCCUUCUAUUUUAUAGAGUGAAGUGCUAUCCUCAUAAUGUCAAUGUCAUGUAUCUAGUGUGGUUUGUAUGUAUCUGAGAUACAUGAGCUACCAUGCUUCAUAAUCAAGAAGAAGAAACAAUAAGGAUUGCUCAACUUCGAGCCUCCUUAAAGUGUUAGCCCUGUAGUCACCGGUAGUCCACUAUACCAAUAUCGUUAUAGAUUUUAGAAACAUUUAUAAAGAGUGAUAAUUAUCUCUAAAAAUACAUAUUUACCGACAAUCAAACUAUUGCCAUUAGUUAAUUGUCACCCCUUUAAUUAUUAUUUGUUUUCAAAUAUGUAUACCAUUAUAUUAUGUGGAAUUAAGUGAGUACGUCGUAACUAAUAUUUUUGCACAAAAACAUUUUUUACUGUUCAAUACUUAGCGACUCAUAUCAAUUAAUCUAAUUUAAUAAUUCAUACACAAAAAAAUGAAAAAAUAGUUUUAAAAUAUGCGAAAUUGAAUGGAUAUACCCUUUUAAAUAUAUAAAUAUACUCAACUAACCAUCGUACUUCAUUGGCACGUUUUACUUAUUCAUAAUCAUUAAUGGUCCCGUUUGCACAGCAUUAUUGGUCCUGCAAUUAGAGCAGAGGAUAAGAAGGCAAAUUUGGGCGCUUCUUCUUGAUAGGUCUAUAUGAUAUGGUCCUUCCAACAAAAAUACAAAUCUCUUAAUUUUUAUACGAGAUAUUUUACUAUUAUGGGUGUAUUUAAUACGAAUGAAAAAGUUUCAUUUUCUCAAUUGAUUACUUAGUUUUUUAAUGGGGUGUGUGGGGUUGUGAGAGAAAGAGAUUGGACUUUGGAGAGUACAUGGGGUGAGAUACUCGUGGAGAGUGGACCAAUAAAUUUUUGUAAGAUUAAAUGUAUUUGAAAGUUUGUAACUAUAAUAUGCAACUGUAAAUAUAUAUCUAUAUAUAAUAGGAGAAGAAAAAAUGUCACAUGUUAGCACCAUAAAUUUUCAAAAUUUUAGAUUAUAAAUAAUUAAUAUUAUAUAACUAAUUAAAUAUUAUAAAUUAGAAAUAAAAUUCACAUGUCAAAAGGGGUGUAAAACACCGAACCACAAAUUGAGUUAAACCGAACAAAAAACCCGACUAGUGGUUUGGUUUGGUAUUGGGAAAAAAACCUCGACUAUAUUUGGGUUGGUUUGAUUUUAACUAAAAAAAACAACUCGAGACCAAACCAACCCGACAUUAUAUAUGUAAUUUUAAAAUUUUAUUUUAUACAUAAAAAUAUUUACAUUGAUAUAAUUUUAAAAUAUUUCUUAUACUAUUUCAUAGUUUUUAUCUUUUAAUAUAUUAUUUCAAGUUUAAAACUUAGAAUUCGGAAUGGUCCAAUAAAGAUUAUAGUUCAUAGAUGUUAAUAAUUAUAAUAAACUUAAAUCAAAAUCAAAUUAAUACUAAUGCAAAAAGAAAAUCAAUUCAACACUAAGAAUGACAAUAAUAUUGAAUAUUUGUUCUUUAGUUUUACAUUGGUUUAGACAAUUAAAAUACAUAAUCUAAUUUUAAUUGUCCUUAAAUAUUUAGUAAUGUAACUAAUACUUAUUAAACUUAUUUUAGCAUGAUUUAGUACUUUUAAAUUAUGAUCAUUUUCAUUAUGACGUUGCAAUAUUUAUUUUUAUAUGAUGAUUUCAUUAUUAUUUUUUAUUGACUAUUUUAGUGUCAUCACGCAUCUCAUAUUUUGUGUUAUUUUCUUAAGAAACACCUUAGAUAAUUGUAUUUUGGUUGGACUAAAGAAACAUUUGAAGCACAAGUUAAUUAUAUGUUUGUAUGCAAACUUUACCGAAAAAAUCCAAAAAUCUGAGGUUUAUUAGUUUGGUUUGAUUUAUAAGUUUAAAAUUAAAUUCGACAAUGGUUUGGUUUGGUAUUUGAAAAACCCAAAAAAAUUCAAAUUUUAUUAGUUUGGUUUGAUUUAUAAAUUUCAAAAUUUUACACAAAUGGUUUGGUUUGAUAUUUGGAAAACCCAAACCAACCCGGUCAUGUACACCCCUAUGUCAAAUAAUAACAAAUGUCAGCAUUUUUAUAAACAAAUUUAAUAUUUUUUUAAAAUCCAAUUUAUAAAUUAGUAAUAGAUUUUUUUUAUUUUAAUCUAGGACAUAUUUACUAUUUUUUUAAAAAUAAUUUAUACACUUUUUUUAAAAAGGCAGUUCUAUAAAUGACAAAUGUCAUCAAAUUAGAUGAACACCGACAAAUGUCAGCACCCAAAAAAAGUGUAUGUUUUUUUUUAAAGUUUAAUUAUAAAUUUGUAAAAAAUAUUUUUUUAAAAAAAUCAUUUAAUCUAGGCUGGUUUAAUAUUUCAAAAAGUAUCCAAUUUAUAAAAUUCAAAUAAAAUAAAGGACAAUCUUAUCUUAUAUAUAUAAAUUUUAAAAACUGAUUGUUAAAAACAAAGAUUACCAUUAGAAAAAAAUUUAAAACUUAUUGUAAAAAAAAAAGUUGAAGACGGUGGAUUCUUAAGCAAUGGGGUAGUUUUUUUUCCCUUUAUUUUUAAAAAUUAAAUUUUAAAACGGUUUGUUAGCAAAUACAAUAUUUACCAUUAAAAAAUAAAUUAAAAAACUUAUUGUUAAAAAACUGUGGAUUUGUAGGAAAAAUGAGGUAGUUUUCUUCCCUUUCUUUUUAAAAAUUUAUUAAAUUGUAUUCACAUAAUAGAAAGAAAAGUCUUUCAAUUUUAAAAAGAAAACGGAUAUCACGUCCAUUAAAAAAAGAAACCUUAAAAUUAGCCACAACAAAAUAUUUGAAUAAUUAAUUUAAAAUUCAAAUUUUAAAUAAUAACUAACCUUAUCCCUAAAAAGAAUCUCAACUUCCUAACCCACAUCUUUAAAAAAAAGUUACUAUUCUUAAAGCAUCAUUCACAUCUUUUUUAACCAAACACUUCAAAAUACGAAUUCAAACAUUUGUAAAACAAAAAUUACAUUCAAACAAAAAAAUUAUUACACUCAUGUGAGAUCAUAAAAGAAAAUGAGGGCAAACAUAGUAGUGUAUUGUGUGUAUUUAUUCCAUUUUUCUUAAUUGUUUGAUUUGAAAUUAUUUUGUUAUGUCUGAUGAAAGGAGAAGGAUCACCAUACUCUCCAAUGCAACAAAGAAAAAGAAGAAACAAAUGAUGAAUAAAUGGAGGAAUUCUAUAUAUUUCAUAGUAGUGGACCAUGUAUGUCAAUCACUAUUUAAAUUUGGUUGGUGUUCUUUAUUUGUGUUAUUUUAAUUUUUUUUAGAUUUCAAUAAGUGUUCCAUUUUUGCAAGAAUAAAAUCAAUAUAAAUAGUAAAUACAUAUCGUUGUAAUUUUUAUAUUCUUCAUUUUCAAAUACUUUAUUAGUUUUAAUAUUUACGUUUUUAAAAUUUAUAUGCAGAUUGUGAUGGUAUACUAUGACCCUAUUGACAUUUGAUUAUUCUUUAGUUUGAUCAUUUUGAUUAUUAUUAUGAUCAUAUAACAUUUGAUUUAUCUAACAACAGUCUCCUCACUUUUAAAGAAAUAUACAUACACAUAUAAUAUGGAUCAUGUAAGCGCAUUUAUGAUUUUGUUUAAUUUAAAAAUAAUUUAAUUGAUUAAUUUUAAACAAAAUGUUCUAAAAUGUAUAAUUUUUUUUAAAAAAAAACAUAAAUUUGAUCUAGCUAUUUCAAAAAAAAAACUGAAAAUGACAAGUGAAGUUUUUUUUUUGUUUGUAAAAAUGUAACCGAAAAAAAUAAGAAAAAUGCAAGAAAGAACAAUAAACAAUUGUUGGUUACACAAGUUUGCUGGUCAAAAUAUGUUCUCUCUAAAUGAAAAGACUACUUUAAAUUAUAUCUUAUCAUGACUUAAUAGUCACAAAUUACUUAAAAUUGAGGUGUCUCUUUUUUAAAUUCCCUUUCAUAUAUGUUUUUUUNNUUUUUUGGACCAGGGGUCCUUUUAUUUAAUCACAACAAUCAAUACAUCAGAUGGCAACUAAGCCCAAAUAAGCAAUAAUUAGAUGGCCCAAAUUAGGAAAUAAGAGACAUGGUCCCGUUUGCACAGCAUUAUUGGUCCUGCAAUUUUUAUGUUUUUUUAUAUGAAUUUUUUUGGACCAGGGGUCCUUUUAUUUAAUCACAACAAUCAAUACAUAAGAUGGCAACUAAGCCCAAAUAAGCAAUAAUUAGAUGGCCCAAAUUAGGAAAUAAGAGACAUGGUCCCGUUUGCACAGCAUUAUUGGUCCUGCAAUUUUUAUGUUUUUUUAUAUGAAUUUUUUUGGACCAGGGGUCCUUUUAUUUAAUCACAACAAUCAAUACAUAAGAUGGCAACUAAGCCCAAAUAAGCAAUAAUUAGAUGGCCCAAAUUAGGAAAUAAGAGACAUGGUCCCGUUUGCACAGCAUUAUUGGUCCUGCAAUUUUUAUGUUUUUUUAUAUGAAUUUUUUUGGACCAGGGGUCCUUUUAUUUAAUCACAACAAUCAAUACAUAAGAUGGCAACUAAGCCCAAAUAAGCAAUAAUUAGAUGGCCCAAAUUAGGAAAUAAGAGACAUGGUCCCGUUUGCACAGCAUUAUUGGUCCUGCAAUUAGAGCAGAGGAUAAGAAGGAAAAUUUGGGUGCUUCUUCUUUACUCACAUGAAAUUCUGAUUUAUCCAUUUGUAAUUGUUUCAAGACAUAAAUAUUUUUCUUUUAAUGAAAAAAUAUCCAAUAUCACUCACGUGGUGGAUAGGUCUAUAUGAUAUGGUCCUUCCAACAAAAAUACAAAUCUCUUAAUUCUUAUAUACGAGAUAUUUUUCUAUUAUGGGUGUAUUUAAUACGACUGAAAAAGUUUCAUUUUCUUAAUUGAUUACUUAAUUUUUUUAUGGGGGUGUGGGGGGUUGUGAGAGAAAGAGAUUGGACUUUGGAGAGUACAUGGGGUGAGAUACUCGUGGAGAGUGGACCAAUAAAUUUUGUAAGAUUAAAUGUAUUUGAAAGUUUGUAACUAUAAUAUGUAAUUGUAAAUAUCUAUCUAUAUAUAAUAGGAGAAAAAAAAACGCUACAUGUCAGUAUCAUAAAUUUUUAAAAUUUAAAAUUAUAAAUAAUUAAUAUUAUAUAAUUAAUUAAAUAUUAUAAAUUUGAAAUAAAAAUUCACAUGUCAAAAGGGGCGUACAAAACCGAACCGCAAACCGAGUCAAACCGAACAAAAAACCCGACUAGUGGUUUGGUUUGACUUGGUUUGGUAUUGGAAAAANNNNNNNNNNNNNNNNNNUCCUUAAAUAUUUAGUAAUGUAACUAAUACUUAUUAAAAUUAUUUUUAGCAUAAUUUAGUACUUUUAAAUUAUGAUCAUUUUCAUUAUGACUUUGCANNNNNNNNNNNNNNNNNNNNNNNNNNNNNNNNNNNNNNUUUAUUAGUUUGGUUUGAUUUAUAAAUUUAAAAUUAAAUUCGACACAAUGGUUUGGUUUGAUAUUUGAAAAACCCGAACCAACCUGAUGUUGAAAAACCAAAAAAAUCUGAAUUUUAUUAGUUUGGUUUGAUUUAUAAAUUUAAAAUUAAAUUCGACACAAUGGUUUGGUUUGAUAUUUGAAAAACCCGAACCAACCUGAUGUUGAAAAACCAAAAAAAUCUGAAUUUUAUUAGUUUGGUUUGAUUUAUAAAUUUAAAAUUAAAUUCGACACAAUGGUUUGGUUUGAUAUUUGAAAAACCCGAACCAACCUGAUGUUGAAAAACCAAAAAAAUCUGAAUUUUAUUAGUUUGGUUUGAUUUAUAAAUUUCAAAAUUUUACACAAAUGGUUUGGUUUGAUAUUUGGAAAACCCGAACCAACCCGGUCAUGUACACCCCUAUGUCAAAUAAUGACAAAUGUCAGCAUUUUUAUAAACAAAUUUAAUAUUUUUUUAAAAUCCAAUUUAUAAAUUAGUAAUAGAUUUUUUUAAUUUUAAUCUAGGACAUAUUUACUAUUUAAAAAUAAUAAUUUAUACACUUUUUUUAAAAAAAAAGGCAGUUCUAUAAAUGACAAAUGACAUCAAAUUAGAUGAACACCGACAAAUGUCAGCACCCAAAAAAAGUGUAUGUUUUUUAUUAAAGUUUAAUUAUAAAUUUGUAGAAAUUAUUUUUUUUAAAAAAUCAUUUAAUCUAGGCUGGUUUAAUAUUUCAAAAAGUAUCCAAUUUAUAAAAUUCAAAUAAAAUAAAGGACAAUCUUAUCUUAUAUAUAUAAAUUUUAAAAACUGAUUGUUAAAAACAAAGAUUACCAUUAGAAAAAAAUUUAAAACUUAUUGUAAAAAAAAAAGUUGAAGACGGUGGAUUCUUAAGCAAUGGGGUAGUUUUUUUUCCCUUUAUUUUUAAAAAUUUAUCAAAAAUAAAUUUAAAAAUGGUUUGUUAGGAAAUACAAUAUUUACCAUUAAAAAUUAAAUUUAAAAACUUAUUGUUAAAAAACUGUGGAUUCGUAGGAAAAAUGAGGUAGUUUUUCUUCCCUUUCUUUUUAAAAAUUUAUUAAAUUGUAUUCACAUAAAAGAAAGAAAAGUCUUUCAAUUUUAAAAAGAAAAAGGAUAUCACGUCCUUUAAAAAAAGAAACCUUAAAAUUAGCCACAACAAAAUAUUUGAAUAAUUAAUUUAAAAUUCAAAUUUUAAAUAAUAACUAACCUUAUCCCUAAAAAGAAUCUCAACUUCCUAACCCACAUCUUUAAAAAAAGUUACUAUUCUUAAAACAUCAUUCACAUCUUUUUUAACCAAACACUUCAAAAUAAGAAUUCAAACAUUUGUAAAACAAAAAUUACAUUCAAACAAAAAAUUUAUUACACUCAUGUGAGAUCAUAAAAGAAAAUGAGGGCAAACAUAGUAGUGUAUUGUGUGUAUAUAUUUCAUUUUUCUUAAUUGUUUGAUUUGAAAUUAUUUUGUUAUGUGUGUUAUUUUAAUUUUUUUUUAUUUCAAUAAGUGUUUCAUUUUUGCAAAAAUAAAAUCAAUAUAAAUAGUAACGAGGAUAAUGAUGAAUACAUAUCGUUGUAGUUUUUAUAUUCUUCAUUUUCAAAUACUUUAUUAGUUUUAAUAUUUACGUUUUUAAAAUUUAUAUGCAGAUUGUGAUGGUAUACUAUGACCCUAUUGACAUUUGAUUAUUCUUUAGUUUGAUCAUUUUUGAUUAUUAUUAUGAUCAUUUUAACAUUUUGAUUUUAUCUUAACAAUAGUCUCCUCACUUUUAAAGAAAUACACAUACACAUAUAAUAUGGAUCAUGUAAGCGCAUUUAUGAUUUUGUUUAAUUUAAAAAUAAUUUAAUUGAUUAAUUUUAAAUAAAAUGUUCUAAAAAGUAUAAUUUAAAAAAAAAAACAUAAAUUUGAUCUAGCUAUUUCAAAAAAAAAAAAACUGAAAAUGACAAGUGAAGUUUUUUUUUUUUUUUUUUUUUUUUAAAAAUUUUGUAACCUGAAAAAAGUAAGAAAAAUGCAAGAAAGAACAAUAAACAAUUGUUGGUUACACAAGUUUGCUGGUCAAAAUAUGUUCUCUCUAAAUGAAAAGACUACUUUAAAUUAUAUCUUAUCAUGACUUAAUAGUCACAGAUUACUUAAAAUUGAGGUGUCUCUUUUUUAAAUUCCCUUUCAUAUAUGUUUUUUUUUAAAAUCGUUAAAGCAAAUGUCACCAAUAUAUAAUAUCAUUAAAGUGUGCUGAAGUCAGAUAGAGCUGAGGGUUCAACUAAAUCUUCUUCGUCAAAAAAUUACACUAUUUAUACAGUGUUAUAAUCAUAUUGUAUUAUUGUAAUGUAUGUAUAUAUAAUAUAAUAUUAUUUUAUUUUAUUUAAUGUCAUGACAAAAAAUAAAUAAAUAUAAAACAGUUAAUGAAACAAAAAGAAGAACAAAAUAUUAAUGAAGGGAUACUUAAAAAUACGUAGGUAAAUUUUCUAUUAAAAAACACAUAAAGUUUGAUAAAUAAAAAAACUAACUUAAAUCAUCCCUAAAAUUCCUCACCCACUUACUUAACUACUCUAAUUUUCAGUUUAAUUAUUUUCUUUAAUCUUUGUUUUGAUAAAUUAUUUAUAUAAAAAUCUUUCAACUAACACUUUCAAAAAACCACUUAUAGAAAAAGACUCAAUUUUAAAAAUUUUUUUAUCUCUACUUCCACUUUAUCUUCUUUUUUCCCCUUAAAAAUAAUUAAAUUCUUACUCAUAAAAUCUUCAAUCACAACGAAAGUCACAAUAUCUAAAGAUCUCAUAUUAUUAGUGUAAUAUUUUUAAUUUAUUAGUUGCUUUUUCCUUAUUAUCAUAACAGAUUUUUUUGAUUAAAAGAAUAUGCAUUAUUUUUAUUUUUUGUAGUGCUUGAAUUCUGGAUGUUGAUGCUAACGAUACCAAUGACAAUAAAUUAAAUUAAAUAAUUUCAUAACACUUAAUAAAUAAAAAUAAAACAAUUAACAAAAAAAAACAUUAAUAAAUAAUAAAGGAAUAGUUAAAAAUACGUAUGUAGAAAUUUUUAUAAUAAAAAAUAGAAAAAUAUUAGAAGAAAAAAAACUAACCUAAAAUUCCUCACCCACCUACUAUCCUAAUCUCUGAAAACUCAAUUAUAUAUUUUAAUGUUCUACCUUCGUAAUAGGAAAAAAUAAAAGUUCCACAUAUAACCUGAAGCAUCACACAAAAAUAAAUAAAUUUUGAAUUUAUAAAAAUAAAUUUAAAUAUUUCAAAUUUAUAUUUUGUUGAAAAAACAUGUCAACAACGUAAAUAUUUUCGAGUUAUCACAUUUCAUCAUCAAAAUAAUUUUCAAAUUUUCAGUUUAAUUGUUUUCUUAAAAAAUUAUGUUAGUGAAAACUUACAAGAUAACAAAAAUACAAGAUUACAAUUGAAAGUAAAAUGAAGAAAACAGAAAUCUCUUCAGGCUGAGGCGCGGAUAUCUCGCUCUCUUUAAGGAGAUUCAAGCCCACUGCAGCAAAUGUUUUCACCGGUCCAGCAGUAGUCCUUCUUGACUUGUCCCCUCCAGGAUACAACAGCCUAAUCACAAAAUAUAACUCAACAACUCUGGACAAGAGUUGAGUCCAAAGCUCCACAAAAAGAACACCUCCCUUCAACUAAUAAGAACUCUCUUUUUGACAAACUUUAUGCACUCUAUAUUUUUCUCUUGUAUGUUGUGUCCCAUAAACCAAAUGAAGACACUACUAUUUAUACUAGAAGAAGUCUUCCUAGCAAUGAAUAGGAAGAUAAUGGUGUAGUAAAUAGUGAAGAUAAAUGGCAUUAGGAGUUACAUAGGUUACAAGGAUAAUGGAGGAAUUAAGAAUGGAAUAAUGAGAGGGGUAACCAAUGCCUCUAACGUGCAUUGGCACAACGGCCAACUUUCCAACGUUCACAGAAAGCAGCAAAGUGCAUAAUGCCUAUGCUCAUUAAUUGACCACUAAGUAAAGAGGUACAAAUGCAUGUAACUCCCACGUCCUCUAUUCCAUCUUCAUAGCAGAAAGGCUAUACUAAGUUUUAACAAAUUAAUAUACAAAAUAUUAAUAUUAAAAUGCUAAUAAACCAACAAUCCCCCACUCAUUUUAAUAUAUUAUCUCAAUUUUUUUUAGGAAACUUGAUAAAUAAUUAUGUACAAAUCUGAUAUUUUUCAUCUUUCAAUUUUUUCUUUGCACUACAAAUAGUUUAUUUUUAUGUGGUAUAAUAUUGAUUUGAUUAUAGUAUUUUUUUUAUAUCGAUAUCUUAAAUUCAUUUUUUUGCAUUCUUAUUCUAUGAAAUUAUGUUUGAUUAAAUGAAAAUCGUCUUAUUAUGCAAGAUUGAACGAGAGAGAAGUAUGCUAAAGGGGUUGCAACAUGCUUUGCAAAUUAUAUUUAUUUUUUAGCUAAAAGUAGAAUCAUAUUUUGAAUACUAGGUUAUAAAUUGAUCUAUGAAUUUAAAUUUUUAUUAAUUAAAACAAAUAUGAUUUCAACACAUGCCACAUAUGCUAUUAAUUUUCAUUAUACUAAAAGAAGAAGAAUUCUUUAGAAUAAUGUUUGGUAUCUUUGAAGAACAUAUCCUCAUCACACAUAGAUUAAGGUAAAUUUUUGUCAGCAUAUAUUAACUGUAUAUAUGUAAAAUCAUAACAUUAUAUGUAAUUAUACAUGCCAUUAGUUAAUUGUCACCCCUUUAAUUAUUAUUUGUUUCCAAAUAUGUAUACCAUUAUAUUAUGUGGAAUUAAGUGAGUACGUUCGUAACUAAUAUUUUAGCACAAAAACAUUUUUUACUGUUCAAUACUUAGCGACUCCUAUCAAUUAAUCUAAUUUAACAAUUCAUACACAAAAAAAUAAAAAAUAUUUUUAAAAUAUGCGAAAUUGAAUGGAUAAAUAUACUCAACUAACCAUCGUACUUCAUUGGCACGUUUUACUUAUUCAUAAUCGUUAAUGGUCCCGUUUGCACAGCAUUAUUGGUCCUGCAAUUAGAGCAGAGGAUAAGAAGGAAAAUUUGGGUGCUUCUUCUUUACUCACAUGAAAUUCUGAUUUAUCCAUUUGUAAUUGUUUCAAGACAUAAAUAUUUUGCUUUUAAUGAAAAAUAUCCAUAUCACUCACGUGGUGGAUAGGUCUAUAUGAUAUGGUCCUUCCAACAAAAAUACAAAUCUCUUAAUUCUUAUACGAGAUAUUUUUCUAUUAUGGGUGUAUUUAAUACGAAUGAAAAAGUUUCAUUUUCUCAAUUGAUUACUUAGUUUUUUAAUGGGGUGUGUGGGGUUGUGAGAGAAAGAGAUUGGACUUUGGAGAAGUUUUUUUAUGGGGGUGUGUGGGGUUGUGAGAGAAAGAGAUUGGACUUUGGAGAGUACAUGGGGUGAGAUGGAGUGGGGUGGAGAGUGAACCAAUAAAUUUUCGUAAGAUUAAAUGUAUUUGAAAGUUUGUAAUUAUAAUAUGUAAUCGUAAAUAUUUAGUAACAAAAUAAAAAUAAAAAUAAAAAUAAAAAUGUGUGAUUUAUUAAUGCGACAUCUAAGAAUACAUAUAGAUAUUGUUUAUGAAUUAUGAUUUAGUCAUUUGACAAGAUUAUAUAAAAGUUAGAGAAAAUUUUAAUAAUUUUCACAAACGAAGGUUUUCACAUUUCAACUUCAUGUCCAAACGGACCCUAUAGUUACAGAUAGACAUUUUAUUUUUUAGAACCAAAUAUUUACGCCCUCUAAAUUAUGGAGAUUCUACACUUAAUUAGACCCCUGUUGAAUUAUAUCUAUAAAUAAUUAAAUAUAUUAAAAUUUAAUUAGACAAACUAAAACUAUAAACAAUAAGACAGUAAUUCUUUACAAAAUUUUAAAAAGAAAUAUUUUUUUAAUUCAUGCCUUUAAUUAUAAAAAAAAGACAUCACUACUCAUUUUUGGGAACAUUUCUCUGUCAAAACUCAUAAAUAAAAACUGAACAUAAACUAUCAAUAAGAUACACCAACUAUUAGUAAAAAAAAUAAUGUAUUUAUAUACGUAAAUGACUUAAAUUUAAGUACUUAUUAUAUGUAAAUUCUUUUUUUUUUUAGUUAUUAGAGUAGUUAUUAUUUCUCUUAAAAAGUAUAUCUUAAAUACACUUAGAUCAUGAAGUUUCAAUGUAUAGAAUUUCUAAAAUGUUUAAAUGUUUUAGAAAACUUGAGAAGUAAAAGAAUAUUUUGGAAAUUUGAGCAUCUCAUUAAUAAUAAAAAUAAAAUAAAAAUUUAAUAUAAUUGAAAAUAUAAGAUUAUUACUGUUGGAAUUAUGACCCCCUUUAUUCUGUAAAGGAACACGUACUAACUACUUGUUCUUUACUGUUUGUGAGUUCUAGUAAAUAAUUUCGUAAAAUAAUAAUUAGUUCACAGCUUUGUAUUAUUUAUCUCAACUCCAAACAACACCAAGAUUACACACCUAGGUAAUCUAAGGAAUUAUAGACUCUAAUUCCUAGCUAAGAAAUUAUAAACUCUAAUUCCUAGCUACCCAAGAUAAAAACCCCCAGGUUUAAGUCUUCUGCUGUCCAUCAAGUUUCUCAAACUUGUUAGAUGAAUUCUACACACACUUGAUUGUAAUCAAAACUCUUAACUACAAUCUUACAACUUUUUCCUCACAAACUCGCAACACUCCCCAAGUAAAUCUCAAAACUCUCUCAAACUCUUGAUUGUGUUUUGAUCUUCUCUCUAUGUAAGUGUGCAAACUUCUUCGAAGAAGUUAAUGCCCUAUUUAUAGAUUAAACCUCCUCAAAGUCUUGUUCAACUCGAAGUUGACUUUGCUACAUCCUCAACUCCUUGUUCAACUCGAACUUGUCUUCAGUUUUCUUUCUUGACUUCUCUUUGAUUUAUUUCCUUCUUGAACUCUUUAUUUACACCCCCUUAUUCCUUCUUUGAGCAUGCUUCCUACUUCUCUUAGGAUUUAUACCUAUGUUUACACUUUGACUUAUUAUGCGCUCCCUUUUCCUUGUAGGACUCCUUUAUAAAAAUGAAACUUUCUUUACUGGUUGCUUGUCAAAAAAGUAAUCCCUCCACUGCUUUAUAACUUCUAAUUCGCGUGAUUGACGUUCUCAUUAUCCCAGUCGGAUUCGGUCUGAAAGAAACAUGUCGCGCAACUAGUUCCUUUCAUCUGUUCCUCUAUUUGCCAAUUAUCAAAAAAUUUCUCGAUCUAACAAAUUCCCCCUUUUUGAUGAUGACAACACAUUGCUUCUUGUGUGAAUAGAUCAAUUUGUGUUAUUUCAGUUUCUUAAAGUACAACACACCAAGCAAACACAUUAGAGGAUCAAGGUAGACCAAUUGGGUUAUCAAUAUUACACAAGCAUGCAAUUCCCCCUUUUGACAUCAUAAAACAUCGUGAAGGCAUACACCACACUAAGAGAAGCAAAUUCGAUACUCAUGGCCACUGGGCUAUCACCUAUACAAACACUUAAAAAUCAAGAACUCAAUUAGCUAUAUAUAGCAAAGCAUUUGCACAAACAUAGGAGAUAGACAUGAACCUGAAACUCAAAUCCAACAUUAACAUUAAUAAAAAUCAUAUACACCACAAAUGUAAUCAAAAUUAAAGAUAGAAUCAAGCACUUGUGAUGAGAAAAAAAUUGGAAAGUUAAAGGCUAUAGUGACUAGGCAAUAGCAAAAGAUCGGGCAUGAGAGGGUAAAUAAAAGUCCUUUUUAAGCGGCUCAAAAAACAUCUUUUGGAUUAACAAAAUUAGUAGUCUUCUCAAUUUUCAGGGUAGCCUUGGUCUUUGUGUUUUAUUUUUCUUUAGCAGGCCUACAUGUUCAGGAUCAUAGUUCAUAUGCAGCUGGUCCAUGAUAUUCUGGUUCGUGACACAUAUGACUUCAAUUUCAGCUUCUUUUUUCCCGUUUUGUAUCACCUUUAAGGAACUGGUUCAAUCAAUCAUGUGCCCUCUGAAGAAACAAUAGUUCACUUAUCUCUAACCCCCUAAAUCAGUAAUCACCUUACCUAAGAGCACUGUCCGCUUCCCAAAGUUCAAACUCUAAUUUCAAUAGAGUCAUCUUUAAUUUCAAUAGAGUCAGUAAGAGGAACAAAUUUUUGUCAGCAUCAUUUGUAGAGGAAUAUGUUCUCUCAAUCUGUUCCCUAGACGUGGUACUAUCAAGUGCAGUACCAACUAUAAUAAUUUUUGACAUCAACCCUAAAUCCCAGUUUAUAUGGAUCCCAAUAAAAGGACUAGGUUCGACAGAGGGGUCUCCCAUUGUUUCCCUCUCACUAGAUGCACCCAAGUUGAGCCUAAAAAGUGAACUUUGUUCAACUAUAGGGUCCCCAAAAUAUUCCCCCUCACAAGGUACAUCCUCUAAAACUUCCUCAGUAAUUUUAGACACACCCAAUACAUAUUCCCCCUAAGAACCAGCACAACCUACUUUCUACACCACAAUCUAUAUUUUAUAAGCCGCCAACGUAGAUGCGUCAUCCACCGAAGUCAUCUCAACCAUAGCAUCAUAUAAACCAGCACACUUAGAAUCUUCAAGAAUGUCAUUAAGAAACAUAAAUUGUAAUUAAUCAAGCAUAGACAUGUUUCUUGAAGAACACUUUAAUCCACAAUUUUUAGAAAAAGAGGAUUUCUUGGUUAAGAAGUUUAUGGAAGAGAAGGGUGUGAGUUGUAGAGAAACACUAGGAUAAGGCUUUAAAUAGGCUUUUUAAGAAGAUGUUUGUUUAGUAGUAUUGAGGACAUGAAUAUAUAUUUUGGGACAAGUGGAAGGAACAGGUACAUGUGCAUUGAUUUUAUAUUUAAUUAUGAAUAAUUGUAGUGCACAUACCUUAGAUCUCUGAAAAAUGCUGAAUUUUGCUCCAAUUUUACUAAGACUCUCUCUUGUGAUAGAUGCAAAUACAAUGUUAUAGUGCAUGAGUAGCUUGGAUUUAAAAGUGGUAUAGAGACAUACAACUAAAUGUACAAGACUGAGCAUAAAAUUCAUGAUUAGAAGGCAGUAUACGAAAUGUUCAUUAGCCACUGAGGGAUACUCAUGUGAUUUUAAUCAUCCCUAAGUUCCAACAUGUUCCUUUAAAAGUAUUUCUUUAGUCUUGCCUACUUUUCCAACUUCUUUGAUUUGACCAAAAAGAAUUUUCACCACAAAAAUUACUAUUUCAUCAUUUUCUUCUAUAGGUGAGAGAAAUUUCUUCUAGUUUCAAUCAUGUGUCUCAAGCAACAACUGUUCAUAUAAAAUGUUGCUUUCUUCCUCUCACUUUUCCAGCAAAUUCAAAGGUUAGAUUAGGAACCCAUACUAUCUUGGGUCCUUUGUAUUAAUAAAAAGGAUGAAUAAGAUCUCUAUGUAUCCAUUUAGGUAGAUUAGAUUUCUUUUGAGUAUACUUGUUCCUUUGAGGUGUCUUAUAGGUGCCUUUUGCUUUAUUGUUAAUGGUGAAUCUGUGUUUUGGGAAAUUUAUCUUAGAGUGACUUGAAUUACCACAGAUGAUGCAUAACAAAAGGUUAUCAAUUCUGGACUGAUCAAAGCCUAUUCCAGUUUUUUGAUUUCGGUGGUUAUUUCCCAGAUGUGAUACAAUCAUAGAUGACUUUGUCCAUUUAUUUGCUUGUUCAAGCUCAUAUUUAGUUCUAGUUAGUUCAGGUUUCAUUUUUGUUGAUUUUUCUCUCUCAGAACAUAAUUUGUUUUUGAGCCUUUUAACUCCAUGAUCAUCUUUUGACUUAUCACAGAUUUUGUCCUUACCUGUUUCUUUGAGUUUUAGGAUUUCGAUUUUAUUGGACAGAUUCCAAGACUCUAGUUGCUGAACUUUUUGUGAUAAAAAGUUGAUUUUCUCUUUCAGGUCAGCAUUGAGUUUUUCAAGAUCUAUAUACUCAAAUUUUAAAUUGGUUAGGGAGGCAAGUAUCUGAUUCUUGGUUUUAACUAGUUCAUGAAUUGUGUCUAUAGAUGUGAGCAUUAAAAAGGAUAUUUUUUCUUAGAGAAAUUUAUUAACUUAUCUUUAAGAUCAGAAAGGUUUACCUCUUUUUCUUCAGAGUCUGAAUCAGGUUCACGUUUCGAUUCUUCUAUGGCCAUCAAGGCAAUGUCAUCAGCAUCGUCUUCAUACAUCUCUGAACCUGUUCCUCAGGCAGCAUACAUAGCUUGCUCCUUCUCUUUGUUAUUUCUUUUGUUUAAAAGUUCCCUCUUCUCCUUUUCAACUCUUUCUUUUCUCCAUUCUACCUCUCACAUAGGACAAACUUAAUUUGAUGAUUAGUUUUUCCACACUUGAAACAUCCUCCACUUUGUGGUUUCUCUGUAUUCUUUUCUUUAGUGGGUGGUACCUUUUUUCAAAAUUUAUAACCCUUUUGAAGAGUUUCUUGAAGUUUCUGAUGAUCAGUUUUAAGUCUUCAUCAUCUAUAUCUGAUUCAUCAUUUUCAGUUGCUUUGAGUCCAAGAUUUUUUUCUUGUUUCCCUCACCUCUUUUGUCAACAUUCAUCUCAUAUGUCUUGAGGUUACCUACCAGUUCAUCCAAAGUCAUAUUGGUUAAAUCCUUGGCUUCUCUGAUUGCAGUGACUUUUAUUUCCCAUGAUCUAGGCAAGGUCCUAAGCACUUUGUCUACUUGUUCCUAAGUGGUGUAUACUUUUCCCAAGGAGAUUAGCUCGUUUACUACAGUAGUGAAUCUAGUGAUCAUAUCUUAAAGCGAUUCACCGGAUUUCAUCUUGAAGGCUUCAUAUUCGGAGCAUAGCCUAGCAAUUCUAAAUUUUCGAACUUGAGUUGUACCUUCAUGAACAUUCUGUAGAGUAUCCCAUAUUUGUUUCGCGGAGGUACAACGUGAGAUGCGAUUAAACUCAUCAGGUCCAAGUCCACAUACAAAUAUGCAUUUGCCUUUGCAUUUUUUCCCAGCAUCUUGUAGUCAGCUUCUCCAUAUUUUUCUUUAGGUUUUGAAACAUCGUUUCCUUCAUUAUUCUUAACGGUAGGGAUUAAAGGCCCAUCAGUGAUUCUGACCUGUAACAACCCAGAAAUUUUUUGAACUAAGACUUGAACCAUCAUUCGUUGUGAGUAGGAUUUUACCGAGGAAUUAAAAUUUCUUAAGUGUUAAGUUCACUAGAUAUAGCACCUUGAGUUCGAAAAAGAACUAAAUUGGAAAUAGCAAAAAUCUGAAAUUUUGCAAGUUAAGCUAAGUAUGAGUUUUGGGUCGACUUAAAACGAUCAUAACUCCUAGCUCAGGAUGAGUUAGGUGUUCUAUCAGAUACCGUAGGAAAGAUCUUUGAAUUAUAUUUUCAACGCCACCGAGUUUUCUAAGUUUCGAGUUCAGAUGAGUGAGAUAUGACCUUUCGAAGUUAGGAUGUCCAGUUAAGGAAGGUUAGCCGGAAAUAGUGAGGGGUAUUCUGGUCUUUUCCGUACCCAAUCAGAUUUAAUUCAUUUUUAGUAAUAUUUUAGGGGUCUAAUAUGAUUAUGUUCAGUUUUAUAAUCCUAAAAUAUGCCUAGGGUUUUAGUUGAGAGUUGAAGAAGAGAAAAGAAGAGAAAAAGAGGAGAAAAGAGAAGAGGAUCAAGCAUUCGUCGAGAUUCUUGCGUGUUGUAGCGGAUUUUCACCAUGGGUUUGAUCCCUAAGAGGUAUGUAAGCUUCCAUAGUGUUGGGUUUGUUCACCCAUACGCCAAACAUGUUAUUUUCAGCGCAAAUUUCAUUCUUGAAGUCGAAAGAUUUGAGUUCUUCAUGAGUUCUUGAUAGGUGUAUUCUAAAUCUUGUUGUGUUGGGUUUUUUAUGAUUUCUUGAGAUCAAAGUGAGUGUUUUAAGGGCUGUAUUGAGUAUAUUAAAGUGUACUCAUGUUAAGUAAUCGAAUCCAAGUGAUUGGGGAAGAACCCGUUCAAUUCUAGGCGAGUUAGGGUGAGAAAACGAGCAAGGAAAAUUCAUCGAAUUUUCUGGGUUGGGGUCUGGCGCGAGAGCGCCCCAAACCCUCCUUUGAAGUUUAGGGGAUGGCGCCCCGCGCCACCCAUAGUACCAAGGUCGCCUGCCCCAUUCAGUUUGGCGUCGAUUGCCCCGUUUGAGUUCGUUUAAAGUGCACCUUCACUCCUUUUCGAUUCUAACUAUUCUAAGAUACUUCUAAACACCUAAAAUUAUUCCUAACAUGAUCAUAACCUUGAAUUCAUAAUUCAAAUUCAAGGUAGAGUUGAUAGUUAAGUUUUGAGAAUUCUUUCGAACAUUUUAAGAAAGUCCCUUUGAGUCCUUUUGUGGAGUCUUCUACAUCUUCUAGUAACUUGUUUCAAGACUCGAGUUAGUGAGCAUGAGAGUGAGGAGAAUGUAUUCAUGAGUCUACACUAUCAUCUAUAUAUUUCAUAUCAUGAACCAUAACUCUUGAAUUCAUAAUUCACAUUCAAAAGAGAGUUAAUUGUAGAGUUCAAGAAAGCCCUUGAGUUCAAUUGUGAAUCCUUUGAAAUCAACUAUCGAUUUGAACUAAGUUUGAGGUAGUAAGUAAGAUAAUGAGAAUUGUCGUAUACAUGAGUUCCAUGUAGUUGUGUAGACUUUCGAGUCGAGUCGUUCAUGCCCAUAAAUUCCGCAUGAACUCCAAAAAUUGAGUAUCUAUGAGAGAAGUAAUAUCUUAAUGUCCUAAGUCUUAAGUAUUGAGUUCCUAACCCUUCCGAGAUUAUAAUCCUUCGGAAUUGAGCAUUCUUGAAGUGAGUAGUAUCAUUGAAGUUCUUGAGUUCCAAGUAUUGAGUUCUAUCUAUGGUUAUUGAAAACCUUGCAUCGAGUCGUUCACGUNNNNNNNNNNNNNNNNNNNNNNNNNNNNNNNNUUUUACAAACGUUUAACUUUGUUUUAAGACUUAAGUUUUGAGUUCAGUAAAGAGUAAAGUUGAAGUUCUUUUCUUCAAAAUGUAUAUAGGGACUAAGUAUUGCCAAAGAGAUUUAAAAUGUUUUCACAUUUAAAUAAGAACGGAAACUGAGUUUUCCAAAGAGCCUUCGGGCUAGUUUUCAGAAAAGAGUAAUAACUUUCUAAAUGAAGAGCCUUCGGGCUAGUUUUCAGAAAAGAGUAAUCGCUUUCUAAAUGAAGCAAGAGAAGAAACUUUGAUUUCCAAGAUAGCCUUUGAGCUAAGUUUUUGAGCACUAAUCUCAAAUCACAGAAGAAGUAUGUUUUUAAACAUAAAGAGCUAAUAUAAUAUUAUAUUUUUUGGGAGUAGUAUUGAGCACCGAUAUGGGGAUGCGAGUUCACAUUAACUCAAGUCUCCAUAAACCAUGUAGCCAUCAUAGGUAGAAAAAGGUCAUACUUUUUAGAUGAAUCCUUUUCGCAUAGACUAGUGGAUCCACUUAGUAGUUCAUGUCCUAUACCUGUGGCAAGGUAUAGGAUGUGCUGGCAGCGUGAGGAAGAUCGAUGUAUCAUCACAAUAGCUCUUAUGUGAUGAUUGUCGGUUAGAGAAACUCCCACAGUAGUAUUUUGUAUUUUUUUAUACAUCAGAUUAUUUAUAUUUUUACAUACAUCUCAGAGUUAUAUGUAUCUUUGCAUACACACAGAGUUGGCAUCAUGUUUCGGUCAAAUCGGUUCAGUUUUAUGUAUUGUUAGUUUGAUUUUUGAUUUUUAAAUCGUUAAAUUAAUAAAAAAAAAUCAAUAAAAUAUUUGUAUCAAUUUUUGAUUUAUUGAAUAAGAAAAAUGCUCAUAAAAUAAAUAUAUGACUUCUCACUUCUUUAAUAAUUUGAUGUGAUACAGUGAAACAAACAAAUCAAUUGUAAAUUCUUUGAUAUAGUGAAACACGAAAAAUAAUGAAAAAAUUGCAUCAAUAAGAACAGAUGUAGUACGAAUGCUAUAAUUAAUGUUAUAGCCAAAACAUAAUAUGAAAUCUUUUGUGUGAAGACUGUAGUGUCGAGUACUAAUAUAAUGUUUAGUUAUGUUAAAC